UACGUAGGAUCCAAGCGUUAUCCGGAAUUACUGGGCGUAAAGCGUACGUAGGUGGGAAUUUAAGUGAGAUGCGAAAUCUGGCGGCUCAACCGUCUAGACUGUAUCUCAUACUGGGUUUCUUGAGGUUGGCAGAGGCAAGUGGAAUUUCCGGUGUAGCAGUGAAAUGCGUAGAGAUCGGAAGGAACACCAAUGGCGAAGGCAGCUUGCUGGGCCACACCUGACACUGAGGUACGAAAGCGUGGGGAGCGAAUGGG
RNAcentral lists this ribosomal RNA (254 nucleotides) under uncultured bacterium. RNAcentral's name for it is "partial 16S ribosomal RNA". It matches the Rfam family "Bacterial small subunit ribosomal RNA", at positions 524 to 776 of the family's 1533-position model. The record is from RNAcentral.